CCAGGCCUGCUCUGAGGAGGUGCCAUAGCCCUGAGAGACCGAGGUCAGUGACCUAACACAGCAGACAGCUGAGCUCACAGGCGCAGCUUGGAUACCACGUUGAUGUGGCUGUGGCGUAGGCCAGCAGCUGCAGCUCCGAUUCAGUCAACAGCCUGGAAACUUCCAUAUGUGGCGAGUGUGGCCCUAAAAAGCAAAAAAAAAAAAAAGUCUACAGUUAGGCCCUGAAAGGUGUUAUUCACAACUCACAUUUGGAUAUUGCUCUACAGUUGGCAAAGAAAUGUUUGUCCAGGUACGAGCACUGCAGCCACUGCAGCAAAGGGUCUCAGGUCCCAGGUGCUGUCUCACUCCUUCACUACCUGGCUCUGAGGACGAUGGUACUGGCCCCCUGUCACAAGUGAGGAUGCCCUGCUGAGACUUACGAGAUUGCUGCUUGAAGGAGGUCGCAGAGUGCCAAGAGUCCAAGGAGGCCUGAUUCCAAACCUCCAGAUCUUUCCCUUGCCCUGGGAGAACGGCCACAAGCAGGCCCAGAGAGGAAACUGAGGCACAGACUAGCAGAGCGACUCAGUUAAACGUUCACCAUGUAAAUGAUACAAUGGAGGACAGCCGCUGUGUUACAAUAUCUUGGAGUUUCACUAUUAUCUAAGUCAAAAACGACAUCCAGCCGUGAGCUGUGGUGUAGGUCGCAGAUACAGCUCGGAUCUGGUGUUGCUGUGGCUGUGGUAUAGACCAGAAGCUACAGCUCCGAUUCAGCCCCUAGCCUGGGAACCUCCAUAUGCCGAGGGCGUAACCCUAGAAGACAAGAAAUGAAAAUAAAACUGAAAAAAAGACAUCCAGGGACCUUCGAUUUCUCAUGGAAGGAGCUGUGUAUCAAGAAA
This 875-nucleotide long non-coding RNA is filed under the name Sus scrofa (pig). RNAcentral describes it as "lncRNA (ENSSSCG00050019600.1, ENSSSCG00065077314.1)". Lineage: Eukaryota; Metazoa; Chordata; Mammalia; Artiodactyla; Suidae. The record is from RNAcentral.